Molecule: ribosomal RNA, 325 nt
Filed under: uncultured bacterium
Lineage: Bacteria
Description: bacterial SSU rRNA
Rfam family: Bacterial small subunit ribosomal RNA
Source: RNAcentral
GAUGAACGCUGGCGGCGUGCCUAACACAUGCAAGUCGAACGAAGCAUCUUAUCUUGAUUUCUUUGGAAUGAUUGAUUUGAUGACUGAGUGGCGACGGGUGAGUAACGCGUGGGUAACCUGCCUUAUACAGGGGGAUAACAGUUAGAAAUGACUGCUAAUACCGCAUAAGCGCACAGUAUCGCAUGAUACAGUGUGAAAAACUCCGGUGGUAUAAGAUGGACCCGCGUCUGAUUAGCUAGUUGGUGAGGUAAUGGCUCACCAAGGCGACGAUCAGUAGCCGGCCUGAGAGGGUGAACGGCCACAUUGGGACUGAGACACGGCCCAA